Long non-coding RNA from Cucurbita moschata (crookneck pumpkin), 1446 nucleotides. RefSeq lists it as uncharacterized. The transcript is spliced from 4 exons. NCBI's taxonomy places the organism in Eukaryota, Viridiplantae, Streptophyta, Magnoliopsida, Cucurbitales, Cucurbitaceae. The record is from RefSeq and is a predicted model, not a curated record.
UGGAUGUCUUAGUGACACUGCCAGAGCGCGCGAAAUCGCCAUAAACAGCGCCUUUCCCUUUCUCCUUCUGUUUCUUAUUCCCCCUUUUUCCUCUUUUGACCAUUUCUCUCUCGAAUUCCUUCCCACAGUUUCGAACCAUUUCUCCAUUUUAUUUAUAUUUUCAUCUUUUCUGUCUUAAACCCAUUUCCCCUCUGCCCUUCGCCUUUUGAACUGCCUUCUUUCAGUCAGUGAGGUAGAGUUGUGAUCAUUUCUCUUUUGGGUUUUAUUUUGUUGUCCUGUUAUAACCUUCGACAAGCCAGCUUACAGAGACGAGGAUCCUCGCAUCCAUGGCAUCAGGAUUAAGUUUCGCGUUGUGCCUAAUUUCCCUCAACCAGAAUCUGUCUAUUUCAGAAAGCAAACCAAAUAGUUGAUGUUAUUGUUCAAUAUCAACUGGCUAUUGACUGUAGAUUCUAGUACGUCGACAUGUCGAGGAGGUUUCGGACUUGUGACCUCUUAGUCCGAUGGUAUUUGUCUAAUCCAAAAGACUUAUUUUAGAACAUGUUGGAGCUGAAGUGAUUGAAUGUGCUUCCGUCAUUGUAACAGUCCAAACCCACCGCUAGUGAAUGUUGUCUGCUUUGAUCCAUUACGAUCUUCCUAGAUGCCUAAACCGUUCUCGUAAACAAUUUGAAAAGAAAAGCGAAAGAACUGUCAGAUAUAGACCUCUCAAACAGUUGCUUUCUAGUUUUGGAGUAUGGUUAGGUGAAUUGCUGCUGGUUACAUUAUAUCCCUGUUUUCGUGGACCCCUUUGAAUGUGGAGCCAAGUUACUGAAUAUUUGAGACAUGCUCAUGUGUGCAAUUUUUUGACAUCUCUUGUCGACAAAUACUGCAUCAAUGAUGUUACUUGACGAUGCAGGGUUGGACGUGAUUGAACGGUAAGCCAUCGUUCGUGCUAGGGAGUGUACCAUGAAUGCAGGAAGAUGAGUUUUCAUCCAUUGAUGCAGCAAAGAUAGAUUAUACAUCAAUUCCCAGCUUCAACUCAAAGCCAAAUGUGACAAAGCAAACCACCAUCUCUUUCAACCACUGCCCCACUCCAACAUAAAAGAAAAACAGAAUAAGAAUCUGUUGAAAUGCCAUUUUCACUAUUCAAUGAUUUGGUGAGUUUGGGUAGGUGCCUUAAAUACGAAAGAAAAUGGCCUAUUUUGAUCGAUCAAAGGUAUGAUAUUGUCCAUUUUGAGUGUCAGCCGACUCAGCUUUAUUCUUGAAACCCGACAUGUUUAUCAUGUCAUUGGGUUAGUUUAAUGCAAACGACUUUGCUUGGAAGUAUAGACUUAACUUUUUUAUUUUUUUUGUUAAAUAGGAGAAUUUUUAAUUUAUAUGCCUUUCAUUUUGUGUGAAGGAAAGUAAGAAUUGACUUGCCCUCUACUUAAUGCCCAUUUCUUUGUUGGAAUGGAACAACUCUCUUUAGCU